UGGGGAAUAUUGCACAAUGGGCGCAAGCCUGAUGCAGCCAUGCCGCGUGUGUGAAGAAGGCCUUCGGGUUGUAAAGCACUUUCAGCGAGGAGGAAGGGCAGUGUGUUAAUAGCACAUUGCAUUGACGUUACUCGCAGAAGAAGCACCGGCUAACUCCGUGCCAGCAGCCGCGGUAAUACGGAGGGUGCAAGCGUUAAUAGGAAUUACUGGGCGUAAAGCGCACGCAGGCGGUUUGUUAAGUCAGAUGUGAAAUCCCCGCGCUUAACGUGGGAACUGCAUUUGAAACUGGCAAGCUAGAGUCUUGUAGAGGGGGGUAGAAUUCCAGGUGUAGCGGUGAAAUGCGUAGAGAUCUGGAGGAAUACCGGUGGCGAAGGCGGCCCCCUGGACAAAGACUGACGCUCAGGUGCGAAAGCGUGGGGAGCAAACA
RNAcentral lists this ribosomal RNA (427 nucleotides) under uncultured bacterium. RNAcentral's name for it is "partial 16S ribosomal RNA". It matches the Rfam family "Bacterial small subunit ribosomal RNA", at positions 355 to 774 of the family's 1533-position model. The record is from RNAcentral.